GAAGAAGAAAAAAAAAAAGCCACAGCGAAACGACUGCUGGGGAAUGCUGCACAGCACAAAGGCUGAGCCAAUCCUUCGCUUAGUGCUACCAGGCCUAACAGAUGUGUUGAGUGCACAGAUCUGGGUUGCAGCAAGCAUUAAUUUGUCCUACUGACUUCCUGUGAGGGUUCGGUGUCUGCAGCGGGGCGUGAUGCUGCACCACGCGUACAGAAGCAGAAAGCUACACCAGAGCUACAACUUGGCUCUUCUGGCAAUGCAUAGCCAGACCUCUUCAGGAUCAGAGCUGGACAAGGAAGCGAUCAAAAGCAGCAAACAAACCUAAAUUAAAAUUGGAAUGAUGAAGCCUAUAAGACUUUGCGUUAAUCCUGCAUGUUGUGCCUCCAGACAUCUGUCAGCCCCCAUAUACAGCCAAUUCUCAGGGCUAGCUGUGGAUAGAGGAAGAAAUGUGCCACUUUACAAAUACUGCCAGCAAGAGCCUUGGAAUUAUCUUCUACAAGGACAAAAACAUGAGAGGUAGGACCAUAGUCAAAGAGCUGCACUUAGGCUGAGAUGAAAACUGUUUCAGUAGCUGAGCUGAAGAAAUGACGCUCACUUUCACCUUUGCCGCAUCACUGCACUGUUCACUACCGGGAAAUGGAGGUGGCAUUCAGACCAGCCGCUCUGCUGGAAGAUGUUGCUGUGGGGUCAUUACUGGCAGUGAGUUGGCACUUAGUGAUGGUGAACUCUGUACUAACUUCUGCCACAGAGAAUCAGAGACAUUUGGCAGAAUCACCAAGGUUGGAAAAGACCUCCAAGAUCCUCUAGUCCAACUAUCCACCUACAACUGCUGGGUGAGAACAGGCAAUAAUUUGAAUUGUAUGAGGUUAACUGCUAGACAAUAACACAUGUAAUCAUUACUAUGGUUGUUAUAUGCCUUGUCAAUGGUAUUACAGUAAGAAUCACCCAGACUAAAGAAGAAAGAGUUCUGAUGGAAGCAGAACUAACUUCAGCAAGCAGUAAUCCAACACCAUGCAUCACCCCUUUCACACUGAAGGACUGUUAUAACAAGAUGGUGUCGAAAGUCAUAGACUAAAUUAACUCCAUGUACAAUUUACUGGGAUGGCCUCCCACUGGGAGGGGGAAGGGAAGUAAGCAAAAGGCUGCUUGGUGUUAAGCUGCUUGCUGGGUUAAACCACAACAGCACAUUGGAAGAAACAUACUAUCACAUGCAGUCAGCUGAAUUUACCCAGAGCUGGAAUGAGACAGGAAAAAAAAACCAUCAUUAUGGUGGUGUACGCAUCUGAGGCCAGUAACACCAAGCCAGACUAGGGGUCCCAACACUGAGGAAGCCCUUCGUGUUGAUACCUCCAGCCACAGGAAAAGGCAGUGCCUGCUUAAGUCCAGAAAGUAAAACAUUUCUGCAUUAUGGGAAGGUUUGCCCAUAGGAAAACCGAUUUGAACUCCAGAUGACAGAACUGCCUGUUCAGUAAGUCAGGAUCAAGGGCAAUGCUGUUAUCCUUCAUGUCCACUGUGACCCUCACAUUAGGACCUCCAGUCUCAGGGCAGGAUGAAGAAUAAAACUGAAUGCUAAUACUCUAAAAUGAAGUGAAAAAUCAUUUAAAAAUUCAACAUUUUCUUUUUCCUUGCCCUGCUAGCCUUCCCC
Molecule: long non-coding RNA, 1642 nt
Filed under: Gallus gallus (chicken)
Lineage: Eukaryota; Metazoa; Chordata; Aves; Galliformes; Phasianidae
Description: lncRNA (ENSGALG00010013962.1)
Source: RNAcentral